CCUCAGCCUCAGGACCACUCUGUGUCAUAAGUGAUUCUACUAUUUGACAGAUGCAAAAGUGAGCCUCCAAUGAAGUAAAAAUUUUGGUGGGUGGGGCCAAACACAGUGGCACACGCCUGUAAUCCCAGUGGCUGGGGAGGCUGAGGCAGAAAAAUCAUGAGUUCAAAGCCAGGCUUAGCAAUUCAGAGAGACCCUUUCUCUAAAUAAAAUAUAUGAAAAGGACUGGGGAUGUGGCUCAGUGCCCUGGGGUUCAAUCCCUGGUACCAAAAAAAAAUUUUUUUUGGUUGGUGGGAAGUGCCAGGGAUUGAACCCAGGGCAUUAUGCCUGCUAAGCAUGCCCUCAAUAAAUUAGGUGACAUAUUUUAACUCAGGCAGACAAUCUUCGGGGGCCAUGCCACCCACAACGAUAUUCUACUGUUUUUCUUAUUAUCUGUUUCCUGCUAAAUUCCAGUAUCUUGCACAUUGUUGGCAUACAAAGAUGCUCAAUAAAUGUUUGCUUUUAUUGUCCUUUUUUUGUUGGGAGCAAACUUUGAAAUCUCAAAUUUAAUACUGGGGAUGAAACCCAGGGCCUUGUGCAUACUAAGCAGGUGCUCUAUCACUGAGCUACACUCCCAGCCCCUUUUUAUCUUAUUUUUUUAUUUUAGAAAGGGUCUCACCUAGUUGCUAAGGCUGACUUUGAACUUGUGAUCCUCCAGAGAAGCUGGGAUUACAGGGUUGUUUCACCGCACCUGGCUGAGAGGCUUUUUCCUUUCACAUCUUGGCUAGGCCAGGGAUUCAGCAUCAGUCAUGCCAAUACUUGUGUCCUCUGGGCUGGGGAUGUGGCUCAAGCGGUAACACGCUCGCCUAGCAUGCGCAGGGUGCUGGGUUCGAUCGUCAGCACCACAUAAAAUAAAAUAAAGAUGUUGUGUCUGCCGAAAACUGAAAAAUAAAUAUUAAAAAUUCUCUCUUAAAAAAAAAAUACUUGUGUCCUGAGGUCUUCAAAAUGGGUUCUGAAUCCAAAGACAAAAAAUAGCCUCAGGGGGUCUGUGGCCAUUGUUGAGGAGGAGGCAGAGGGGGUGGUCACUACCAUCUGCUAACAGGGCAACAGUAGGGCCCCUGGUCUGACAGUAGCUGUG
This 1114-nucleotide long non-coding RNA is filed under the name Marmota monax (woodchuck). The record is from RNAcentral. Lineage: Eukaryota; Metazoa; Chordata; Mammalia; Rodentia; Sciuridae.